AGCUUUACACAGUGGUAGUAUCGUAACCAAUGAGAUUAAUCUGAGCCAUGAUUAUUGCUAAUUGGAAACUUCUUGAAACCUUGCCAUGAUGACUUGAAACAUAGUUGGCACUGGCAAUUUUUGACAAUCUAUGGAGA
Molecule: small nuclear RNA, 137 nt
Organism: Pipistrellus kuhlii (Kuhl's pipistrelle)
Lineage: Eukaryota; Metazoa; Chordata; Mammalia; Chiroptera; Vespertilionidae
Product: U4 spliceosomal RNA
Exons: 1
Source: RefSeq, a predicted model, not a curated record